RNAcentral lists this transfer RNA (65 nucleotides) under Gigantidas haimaensis. RNAcentral describes it as "tRNA-Ala". The record is from RNAcentral. RNAcentral also lists the same sequence under 2 other names. Lineage: Eukaryota; Metazoa; Mollusca; Bivalvia; Mytilida; Modiolidae.
GGUAUAGUACUUUAAAAUAAAAAGGAUUGAUUUGCAUUUAGUUAUUGGGUUGUACCCCUAUACUU